CUGACCAGGAAAAACAUGCAUCUUGACUCCACUCAAUGUGUAUUAUGUGAUGAUGAAGAUAAUGAAAACAGAACCCAUUUGCUAUUCUCAUGUCCAUUCAGCCAGGGUUUUUGGUGGAACAUUGGUAUUGAAUGGAACACAGACUUGAAUAUUCAUGAUAUGAUUAUUGAAGCUCAUCAAAGAUAUCGCCAACACCAUUUCAUGGAAAUUAUGGUUGUUGGAUGCUGGAGUAUAUGGAAUCAAAGAAAUGAACUGAUAUUUGAAGGAAUCCCAUGCUCUAUCAAUGAUUGCAGAUAUGAAUUUAUCAAAACUUUCAAGUUGACUAUGCUUAGAGCCAAACCUAGUCUAAAGGAGGGCAUGUCAUCCUGGAUCGAUAACAUUUAA
RNAcentral lists this ribosomal RNA (384 nucleotides) under Triticum aestivum (bread wheat). Its description in RNAcentral is "partial small subunit ribosomal RNA". Lineage: Eukaryota; Viridiplantae; Streptophyta; Magnoliopsida; Poales; Poaceae. The record is from RNAcentral.